This 342-nucleotide ribosomal RNA is filed under the name Fabaceae environmental sample. Its description in RNAcentral is "eukaryotic LSU rRNA". The stretch from base 1 to 84 matches the Rfam family "5.8S ribosomal RNA", at positions 73 to 154 of the family's 154-position model. The record is from RNAcentral. Lineage: Eukaryota; Viridiplantae; Streptophyta; Magnoliopsida; Fabales; Fabaceae.
UGCAGAAUCCCGUGAACCAUCGAGUCGUUGAACGCAAGUUGCGCCCGAAGCCAUCAGGCCGAGGGCACGCCUGCCUGGGUGUCGCACAUCGUUGCCCCAAAUGCCUCGGCCUUGUGCCAGGCUUCGAGCGGGGCGAAUGUUGGCUUCCCGCGAGCUAUGUCUCACGGUUGGUUGAAAAUUGAGUCCGUGGUGGAGGGUGCCGCGAUGCAUGGUGGUUGAGUAAAAGCUCGAGAUCGAUCGUGCGCGUCACCCCUAUCGGAUUUGGGACUCUGUGACCCAUGAGCGCCUGUUGGAUGCCCAUGACGGGACCUCAGGUCAGGCGGGGCUACCCGCUGAGUUUAA